This 669-nucleotide long non-coding RNA is filed under the name Salmo trutta (river trout). RNAcentral describes it as "lncRNA (ENSSTUG00000036367.1)". The record is from RNAcentral. Lineage: Eukaryota; Metazoa; Chordata; Actinopteri; Salmoniformes; Salmonidae.
AGCUAGCUCGCUAACGUUAGCUACAUUUUACCCUAUUUUUUUGUGAAACAUUGAAGAAAAGGUAGUUAUAUAUAGAAGAUACAAACGAAAAUGUCUUGAAUUCAACAUCUGGUACGUUUUUAUGAUGAAUAUUAGAUUACAUUAGCUAAAGAAAACUAGUUAGCUAACGUUAGUAAAACAGAUGGAUAAAUCCUGGUUUUCUGCCGGAUUUUUACAGAUACCAUAUCAACCGUCCCUUGACAAUGGGUUUCGAGGAAAUGUACAAUAUCAAGGAUGAAUGCCCGACAACCGUUUUGAAAAAAAAUGAGGUCAACAUCAUUUCUCCGAAACAGAACAUUGUACGAUUUUGGAAUUUAUUCAUCGCCCUAACAUCGUUGGUGGCUGUGACAGUGUCUUUAUUUGAGAACUACAAAUGCCUGUCUCAAGCUUCACGUCACUGACCAGUGCCUUGAUGAUCUGGAUGAGACUGCCGAAUCGAGGCAAAGUUGAAGUUGAACUUGUUGACUGAUGCCAUGGCGGCGACUGCUAAGAAGGGAGCAGCUGCGAACCAGAAGACUGCAGCCAUGGCAGCACUGGUCCACACCUGCCCUGUGUCAGGUGAGUAGUAUUGGAUGGUACUGUAUGUACCUUUAGGUUCCUCUCCAUGUGCAGGCUAUUGUACUGGCCUGU